RNAcentral lists this long non-coding RNA (5535 nucleotides) under Panax ginseng (ginseng). Its description in RNAcentral is "long non-coding RNA (PGIN_LNC012187)". The record is from RNAcentral. Lineage: Eukaryota; Viridiplantae; Streptophyta; Magnoliopsida; Apiales; Araliaceae.
UGUAAUCUUCAUUUAAGCUCUUUAUUUGGUUGAAAAUCUCCAAGUUAGCUAGAUAGAUAAAGUUGGGGAUAAAAAUGUAUAGACAUACAUAUUGUAAGUAUAAGUUUUGGUGGCUAUAAAUAAGACCACUCACUAGUGCUAGCAAAGGUUGACUUCAUUUUAUUUUCUAAGUAUUGUGAGCUUGAGAGCAAAAUACAAUUGAGAGCAAAAAGGAGUGGUGGCCGAAAUUUCUAGGAGGGGAAGCUAACUAGCGGAUGUCAUCUAGCUUCAUCACCUACUUUGGAAAGAAGAGAAGAAGUGCAUCCAAAACCAAGAGGUUUAAAAGUUUUCUAAUCUUAAAACUCUAAGUAGUUUAUUGUUUAUUUAUGUUAUCUAGCAUGUUAGUUGCGGGAGGAACAUUGUGACGAGGAACUAUGGUGAGUUACGAAGAUAUAAGGGUGGAUGUGUAAAGGAGAUUGUGUGCUUAUGUGAAAUAUGUGUAUUUGUGUAGUUGUUUUGCAAAUAAAUGAAGAGCGCAUAUUUUUAAACACUAUGAUAGUAAAUAUAUGGGUUAGAUGAUAUUUUAUGGUUAGAUGUGUUCAAUAUGUGUGUUGAUGUACUUAGAAGGUAAAGAAAAAUAAGAAAUGUUUUUAUGAGAUUUAGUUCAAGAACCCUAGAAAUUUCAGUCCACUUUGGACAACUACUGUUUUCAAAUUGUAACUUGUUUUUGAGAUCCGUCAGAUUUCUUGGAUAGAUCUAUAAAUUUUAUAAAGAUCCCCGUUGGAUUUGCUAAUAAAUAUUGAACGAGCUUUCGGUGGCGAAUUUUCUACCAAAACAGUUUUCUGUCAAAAAAUUUGAAAAACCUACUGCCCUUAAAUUUCUAAGGCCUGUUUUGGCCAAUUAACUUGGUCUAAAACUUUUGGCCUCCAGGGAUCUGAAAUUAUAUAGUAUCAUUGAGUCGUUGUCCAAAAAUGAGCUCAUUCCAACUCCGUACAAGCGAGUUAUGGCCCAACAAAGAUUUCGAUUUUUAAAAUUAAAACUACAAUAUCUUGAAGCGUGUAACUCAGAAAAUUAUGAACUUAACUGAGGGUAGUUUCUGAUGGCAGGAAGUUGUCGUGUAAAUUUCAGAAUUUUCUAAUGAAUUCUCGAUUUUUAAUAAAUAUGGCAAUUUUGGACAGAAAUGACCUAUUUAAAAAUAGUAAAUAAUAUUAAAAAAUUAAAGAAAUUUUAUUUGUAUGUAAAAUGAAAUAUACUAAAUAUAUCCAAGAGAUAUAAAAAUAAUAAGUUAAUUAAGUAUUUUUAAUAAAUACAACUGAGUUAAGAAAAAUAAAGAAAAAUAAUUAUUUAUUAUUUAAUUAAAAUUAAAUAAUAAAUAAAUUUAAUUAAGGCAAUUGUUUAUUAUUUAAAUAAUAUUAAAUAAUAAAUACAGUGAUUAAAUAGAAUUAAAUUAAUAAAUUAAUAAAAUGAUUAAACAAAUAAAGAGUAAAUUGUUUUAGUGUUUAAAUUUAUUAAAUGAAUGAAAUAUUAUUAAAUAAUUAAUAAUAUUAAUUAAGAAUUAAAUUAAUAAUAAUUGUUAAGGGUCAAAGUAUUAUUAAAAGGGUUAAUAAUAUUAGCAAGAGAUUAAAAUAUUAUUAAAGGAUAAAUACUAUUAGUAACCAACUAAGAUGUUAUUAAAUAAUUAGGGUUAAAUGCUUUCUAAGUCAUUGUACUAUAGGUCAACUUACAAAUGGGUCACUGAACUUUUUUUUCUUACAGUCAACUUACUACACUCGAUUUUUCUAACAAAAAGUUAAAAAAACUGUUAAACUAGUUUGACUGUUAACGGAAAGUACACAUCAGCUGCUGAGUUGUCCGUUACAAGCUGAUGUGGCGCCUUUGUGUGACGUGGCAGUGAUUAUGUGGAUUUUUAAAAAAAAUUUUAUGAAGAAAAUGAAAAAAAUAUUUUAAAGUAUAAUAUAAAUUAUAAAAUUAAAAAUAUUUUAAAAUUAAAAAUCUUUUCAAAUUCAGACAUUAAAUUUAUAAUUGAGUCAAUUUGGUGAUAAUUUUUUUUUCUUUUCUAACUAGGAUAAAUAAAUUUGUACUUUUACAUGCAAAUAAUUUUUAUCAAAUAAUUUUUAAUUUUAUCAAAUAAUUUUUAUUUUAAUUUUAUCAAAUAAUUUAUAUUGUAAUUUUAAUUUUAUCAAAUAAUUUUAAUUUUAAAAUUAUACAAAAUUUAAAUUUUAUAAUUUAAUUUAAUUAAAUUUAAGAAAUAAUCAUUUUUAUUAAAAAGAGGAAGAAAAAAACAAUUCUUAUUUUUGUGAUUAUAAGAAAAUAAAUUUUUAAAUAAUUAGUAACAAGUAUAAUUAUUUAAAAAAUUAUAAAAUUAAAAUAUACCAAAAUUACAAAUCAAAUCGUUACUUCAUAUAAUAAAUUACUCCCAUUUAUCCAUCAUUUUAUAAAUAUUCAUUUAUAUAAAAUCAUAUCAAAGCCCAAAAAAUAUGAAUACAACUCAGAAUCAAUUACUGCAAGUCUAGAAGGCACAAAUUGCCACUUCCUCCAUCCUCACCCGUUACUACAAGUCCAGAAUCAAUUACUACAACCCAGAAUCUCUUCUCCCGUUACAAACUCUAGACCCCUCCUCCUUCUUCCCCUUCAAUGGGAAACCCCUAUCCGAUUCUACCAUGGUCCAGAAGGCAAAAAUUUCCCUUUCCUCCAUCCUUACCCUACAGUUCUGCCUCCCUGGGGGUGGUGGUUCAGAUUCAGAUUGCGAUAAGGGUUCAGAUUCAGAUCUAGCCCCAGAUUCAGAUUCAUCACUUGGGCUCCCCGUCUCCUUCACGCGCGGUGGUUUCGAUUCCUUCUUAUCCUCCAUCAUAAUAGCUAGUUAGAUCUGAAAUUAAUGUUUGUUUGAUAUAGUAUGGUUUUCUCAUGUACCUUUUUACAAGUUGGGACUCAAAAGAAGGAUUCUGGAAUGGAACUUCCUUCCAUUUUGCUCGGCAAACGGGGUAAAUCUGAUUGAGUGUUUUACAUCGGAGGUGAUGCAGUGGAAGUGGAAGGAGUGUGAGCAUUCUGUAGUGAAAAUGGCAUGGCCUUGGCAUGGUUUCAUGGUGGUUAAGCAUAUUGAGCAAUUAGUAGAUCUAGGCUUUUGGAGAUGAAUGAUGGGUUUGAAUGAGAUGUCGAAGAAGGAGAUGAACAAUAUAUUUGAUUAUGCAGUGAAGAUUUGAUUUGUAAUUUUUUAAAUAAUUAUAGUUGUUACUAAUUAUUUAAAAACUUAUUUUCUUAUAAUCACAAAAAUAAGAAUUGUUUUUUUCCUCCUCUUUUCAAUAAAAAUGAUUAUUUUUUUAAUUUAAUUAAAUUAAAUUAUAAAAUUUAAAUUUUGUAUAAUUUUAAAAUAAAAAUUAUUUGAUAAAAUUAAAAUUACAAUAUAAAUUAUUUGAUAAAAUUAAAAUAAAAAUUAUUUGAUAAAAUUAAAAAUUAUUUAAUAAAAAUUAUUUGCAUGUAAAAGUAAAAAUUAUUUAUCCUAGUUAGAAAAGAAAAGAAAAAAAAAUUAUCACCAAAUUGAUUUAAUUAUAAAUUUAAUGUCCGAAUUUGAAAAGAUUUUUAAUUUUAAAAUAUUUUUAAUUUUAUAAUUUAUAUUAUACUUUAAUUUUUUUUUUUCAUUUUCUUCAUAAAAAUUUCUCUAGAAAUCCACAUAAUCACUGCCACGUCACACAAAGGCGCCACAUCAGCUUGUAACGGACAACUCAGCAGCUGAUGUGUACUUUCCGUUAAUAGUCAAGCUAGUUUAACGGUUUUUUUUAACUUUUUGUUAGAAAAAUCGAGUACAAUGAGUUGACUGUAAGAAAAAAAGUUCAGUGACCCAUUUGUAAGUCGACAUAUAGUACAAUGACUUAGAAAGCAUUUAACCCCAAAUAAUUAAUAACAUUAGUAAGUGAUUAAAUGAUAUUAAAAUGGUUAAUAAUAUUGUUAUGUAAUUAAAAUAUUAUCCAAGGAUGAUAAUAUUGUUGUUAAAUUGAACAUGUUUUUAGAUAUUGAAUUAUGUGAUUAAAUGAAAAUUGAUUUAGGUGAAUUAUGUGAACUACCAUAUGUUAUACUAAUUGAAAUAUAAUGUGACGCCCCCAAAUUCUAUUCACUACCUAUAUCAGAUUUGGUCCUCACGUAUAUAAAUAUUUCAUAAUAUAUAAUUCCUAUCUUUCCAAGGUUCAAAGUAUCCCAUAACAGAUAAUAGUUCCCAUCAGAACAAUCUCUGUGUUUGGAUACCCUCACUUGGAUAAAUAGGUUUAUAUCUUAUGUAUAUUUCUUUCAUAUUCAUGGUUCCUAUAUAUCUGACAUUCACUGUAUAAAUGAUAAGAUUGUUCUUGGAACCGAGGAGCGACAUCAGUGCUUACAGAACUCCCAAAGUCAUUCAAUAUCCUCAUUCAGAUGUAUAGUUCAUGUGAAUACUGUAUUAAAUCAUUACUAUCCUCUAAAAUAACUAAUAAUGUAAAUACAACGCAAAAGAUUGUAGACACUCAAAUUUUUGCAUUCCUACUACUAACCUUGCAAGAGGUCAAAAUUGUCUUUCAGAGAUAACCCUGGAAGUCAAAUCAGCUCAAUCCCGGAGACAACCCCGGGACAAUCAGUUCAAUCUUUGAGACAACCCCGAGAUAUUCAGCUCUAAGCCCGGAGAUAACCCCGGGAGACUCAGUUCCAACCUCCGAGAUAACCCCGAGGGAUGCAGUUCCAGUUCCGGAGAUAACCCCGAAAAAGUCACUUUUAACCCCAGAGAUAACCCCAGGAUACUCAAUUCAUACCCCAGAGAUAACCCUGGGAGGUCAAUCACACCUCAGAGACAACCAUGAGGACAUUCAACAUUCACAACAACCCAAUCUCAGAGAUAACCCAGAGUAACGACUGCUACAUCUGCGCAGAGCCGGAGAUAACCUCGGUGAGGGGCAAAAAAAUUAUUUUGCCACCUCGAUACUACAUUCAUGUCGUCUCAACAUCAUUUCAAUCAACACUUCAUACAAGGUGUCUCACAAGAACCACAGCUCAAAUCCCGAGUGACUACUACAGAAGACAACACACUAGAUAGAAUUUGAAGACUUGAAGAUCUGGUCAUGGACCCAUCUUCCCAGCUUCGUACAACCUCUAAUCCCAUGUCAUUGUGUAGCUCUUGAUAAUAUCAAUCUGAAAAGGUAAAUCACACCUUUAUCAGAUGCCCAAAUUAAAAGUUACGAAGGUUCGAAUGGACAGCGCGUUGCACGAAUGCACAUACUUCGAGAUAAUGGGACUCACAUGGCCCGGGGCACCCCGGGCAGCCGCAGGUAGACCCACAGCUGCCGCGGGUUGACCCGCGACCAUAUGGUCUUUAAAUAUGAGCUCUUGGUUGCUCAUUUAAAAAAAAGGAGAGAAAACUCUGUCCAUUUCAGCUUGUAAACACUUCUAGAGUGCUCUAAACUGUGUGAUUCUUCUUUAUAAACACUUGUAAGCUCGUGUUUUGCUACAUACUGAAAUUUAACCGAUGGAAACUAGGUUUUCAGGUGUUUAAAGCUAUCUGAAGUCUUCUUGGUAGCCCACUGUAAGAUAUUUCAAAUUUUU